UGGUCUAAAAGCGUGGGACAGAGAUUUUCACAUGGGUUGGUCCAUCUUUGUUGUUCUGAUCUAUCGUGUUUCAAUUUUUUGUAAUGAUUUAUGUCAUGUUUCUUGAAUUUAAGAUGGGGAAUGGAUCUCUGUGGCCAAAAAGUUUUAAGUUUUUAAACAACAAGUUUCCAAUCACAAUUUAUUCAAGAGCAGAUCAAAUGACAAAUGCUAUAUAGAUUGGAAGUUUCUGUGGCCUAGCUAACACGGUCCCAUGUAUUGAUCAAGGUUCUGUAGACAGACUCUGACAGGAUUGGUUAGAUUGUAUUAGUUCUGUUUUAAAUGAGAGAACAGAACCAUGCAAGGAAAACUGUGUUCAUGUGUGUCCAACACUUGUAGACAGACAAUUUUUCCUUUAAUUGAUUUGAGAAAGGUUUGAAGUUUCAAAUCCCUUACAAAUCUGUAUAUAGAGAAGGAACGACGUCUUUAACAUCAACAAGUUGCAAGCAAUCCAGAACAAUAAACUCUCGUUAUUAUUCAUGUAUGUUCAGAAGCUUCAAAACAAGAAAACGGCUUUGGUGAGAAGUCUCUUUAGCGCAAAGAAGAUUCUUGGCGGCACUUUAGUAAGAACAUGCAAAGCAGCACCAAAAAGGUUUCUUGUAAAGACACUUCUAUCAGUAUAACGUCCAGCUCCGAGGAUGAAGAUGAUAUCCAACAGAAACAUAUUAACAAUUUACCUUUUUACUCAAACUAGAGAUGGUGUAUUCCAUGUAAAUAGAAGACAUCUGUUUUCUCCCCUUUCCAUUAUAAUGGAGUUUGUUCAAGAGAAUUAAAAAUGUUUGAAUGUGAAUACCAUCUUCGUAUACCGAAGGUCAUUAAAUCAUUACAAGCAAAUACAAUUUUUUUUAUCAAAUCAUAACGAGUAUGCAUGAAAGAAGACUAACAAUCUAAAUAUCAGUUACUGCAAAAAUGUAAAAGAUCUCUGCUGGUAAGCAACUUCAUAACCCCACCCCCCGCCUAAGUUUGAGCUAAUAGAAAACAGAUUUGGCAAUGAGAAAUCAAUUUCAAAUACCGAAAUAAGAAUCCGACAGCUAUUCAUUGAGUUUUUCUCUCGCAUAAAACCUAUCAAACCUUAACUUUUAAAAGACAACAAAGUCGCAUGAAGAACACAUUUAUCGAGAGAGUUGAACUAGAAACAGAAACUGCAAAUUACAGAGAUAGAAAUGAAAAAAAGGGAGAGCAAGUGCAACAUCACACCCAUAGACGUACUAUCUUGUCAAACAUUUCGUCUUAAUUCAUUUGUCCACGGGAGAUUUUACGAAUCUCCACUUCUGCUUCGUACUGCUUGGUGAAUUGAGUUACUAAGUAAUAUUCUGAGGUAUAUUAAAAAAAGAAGUCACCACCAAUGAAUUUGUUUUUUCUAAACAAUCUAAAUUUUCAAAGUAAUAAUAUAUGAUGGAAAUCUCAAGAUUACCUUUACCAACGUAAAGCAAAAAGCCAGUAGACGUCCAUGCGCCAGCAUCAAAAGUCUUAAAAGAUGGAAUAACCUUCGUCUUCGCGGCGACUAGGAAGUCAUACAUCUCUUCUCCGAAUAGAACAAUAACAGCAAAUAAAACUCACCGAAAAACAACCAAAACGAACCGAGAAUGGUAUAGAUCUGAGAACUUUACCGUUGCUGCUACCAGGCGAUGAAGAGAAAUUGCGGCGAGACCGAAUCGAUCUCAAGCCCUGUAAAAACUUUGGUUAAUCGAUGGAACACAGAAAAGGAGAAAGUAGAAAACAUAAUCAUAUAUCUCGAUCUACCUGUGCAACGAUAGAUCUCAGAUUCGGCGUCAUGACCUGAAACUAGGGUUUCACUUUUCUGUCUGAUUUCGUCAAGACGGGGCUUAAAUAAGUUUUUCUACGGUCGGUCAGGCCUUAGCCAGAGUUUAUGACCUUAUUAAUUCUAUUGUUGGGCCUUAGCCCAAUUUCUUUUCGGGCCCGGAGUUUAUGACCUUUUAAUCCGCCUAUAAUGUUGGGCCUUAGCCCAAUUUAUUUUCGGAUCCGGAGUUUAUGAUCUUUUAAUCCGCCAAUCACGUUAUUUCCCUAGUUGUUCAAAUCAACGGCCUUGAAAUGACGACGCCUGAUUUCGAGAGACCUAAAUAAAACGAUAAGAGACGACCGGAAGAAAAUUCGACUGAAGAAGAUGUCGAUUCGGUGAAGGUAAUUCAUAUGGUGACUCCGAAUAAACGAGCCCAGCGAGUAGUUGAAUUCUUCCACAACAUAAGGGGGCAGGGUUGCGUGCGUGUCAUAGAUGCACAACCUGAGCGAGAAAUAGCUAAGGGACUAGAUCGGUUAUUUCAGUUGCAAAGAAAGAGAGGGCUAGAGCUAAUUUUUAUAAGCUAAUGUGUUAAGCAUAUAUGCUCAAAAUAACCUUAGCCCGGAAACAACUCCUCAAUCAAUUAUAAGGGUCGCUGAGUUUGGUUGCGUCCAUAAAAAUGGGAAGUGGAGUGGUGAGGCGGAGAAUAUUCAUUAAUGAUUAUUAACGAUUAGGCAGAGAAUAGUUUCAUUUUAGUCUGGAGAGAGACUCACAGGAACUCGCCGGAGAAAGUGUGAAAUCGAAGAAGAAGAUGAAGAAGCCAUUGUUGUUGAAUAGAAGAGUGACUAUUCCAGCUCAUAAAAGAAAAAGAAAUUAUUGAUACAGCGCGAAUCGAUCCCUGUUGCCAGAAUUGUGACCGGAGAAGAAGAAGGCACAAAUCAUAUGAAGCAACAAUGGCAAUUCAUGAUCCUCUGCUUGUUCACCUUGUUUCUAGUGGCGGAUGCUCGUGAUAGACGGUAACAACUUUUACACAAGUUUCUGGCGGGUAAUUGGAAUUAGAAGAAAUUGGUUUCAGCUGCUACUCAAGUUACCGGUCAGAGGGGACUCGUUGACGAGUAGGCAAACUCAUUAAUGAAGAAGGCCAGCCUUGUAAAAUGGGGGAAGAAAGAUUGCUCGGAUCCAAUUAUGGCACAAAGAGGAAAUAGGAUUCAGGGAUGAACUAAAACCACUGUGCUGGAUCUAAUUAAGACAUACUCGAAUCUAAACCAACUGGCUGAUGACGAACGAUCGAAACAUUCCAUGUUAGCAUUUCUGUAUAAUGACUCGUCCUCUUCACAUUGUUACCUGAUUUAUAUAUGCUUCCUUCAUCAUUGGGAGGUAUCAUUAACUUACAUGUUAACCAUAAUAGUUCACAUAAGCAGAUUCUAUAACUUGUAUCACAUCAGUUGCAAAUCAGAGAUCAUGUGUAAUCAAAAAUAACACACCCACAUACAUUCGACAAAAGUAAAGACAACUCCAUAAUUUAUAUGUCUGACUAGUCCACAGUGACACGGAAUACAAAGCUUAAAAAAUAACUAGAAAUUUCGUCCAGUUAUCUUCCUUUGGCAUCACAGGAUUACUCCAAUUUACUCUGUGCACAACAAAGAUAAUGACUAGUCCUCCCCUCUAGCCAUUUUCCACAGAUCCCUUGACGGAUGUCUUACUAUCACCAAACCUUAAAACCACACACACACAAACACAAAGUUUUUAAAAUCAAAUUCAUUCAAGUACUGAAAAAAUUCUCUCUCCCUCUCGAUCCAUACCUAACAAAUAUCCCCCACCCAGGCAAAGACCUCGUUUUGCAAGAUCAUCAAAGGUGAGCGAUGAGAAAGUCCCGCCUCCGCCCGUGGAGGCUACAAUCACAAAUCAGAGAUUUUUGUUUUACAUCCGAAUAUAAAACGAACCGAGAAUGGUAUAGAUCUGAGAACUUUACCGUUGCUGCUACCAGGCGAUGAAGAGAAAUUGCGGCGAGACCGAAUCGAUCUCAAGCCCUGUAAAAACUUUGGUUAAUCGAUGGAACACAGAAAAGGAGAAAGUAGAAAACAUAAUCAUAUAUCUCGAUCUACCUGUGCAACGAUAGAUCUCAGAUUCGGCGUCAUGACCUGAAACUAGGGUUUCACUUUUCUGUCUGAUUUCGUCAAGACGGGGCUUAAAUAAGUUUUUCUACGGUCGGUCAGGCCUUAGCCAGAGUUUAUGACCUUAUUAAUUCUAUUGUUGGGCCUUAGCCCAAUUUCUUUUCGGGCCCGGAGCUUAUGACCUUUUAAUCCGCCUAUA
Molecule: long non-coding RNA, 4087 nt
Filed under: Arabidopsis lyrata
Lineage: Eukaryota; Viridiplantae; Streptophyta; Magnoliopsida; Brassicales; Brassicaceae
Description: long non-coding RNA (ALYR_LNC002235)
Source: RNAcentral